CAGCAGCCACGGUAAUACGAAGGGGGCUAGCGUUGUUCGGAAUUACUGGGCGUAAAGGGCGCGUAGGCGGCCAUUCAAGUUAGAUGUGAAAGCCCUGGGCUCAACCUAGGAAUUGCAUUUGAUACUGUUUGGCUUGAGUUCGGGAGAGGUGAGUGGAAUUCCCAGUGUAGAGGUGAAAUUCGUAGAUAUUGGGAAGAACACCAGUGGCGAAGGCGGCUCACUGGACCGACACUGACGCUGAGGCGCGAAAGUGUGGGGAGCAAACAGGAUUAGAUACCCGUGUAGUCCCUGUCUCUUAUAC
RNAcentral lists this ribosomal RNA (301 nucleotides) under uncultured bacterium. Its description in RNAcentral is "partial 16S ribosomal RNA". It matches the Rfam family "Bacterial small subunit ribosomal RNA", at positions 509 to 807 of the family's 1533-position model. The record is from RNAcentral.